This 303-nucleotide ribosomal RNA is filed under the name uncultured bacterium. RNAcentral's name for it is "partial 16S ribosomal RNA". It matches the Rfam family "Bacterial small subunit ribosomal RNA", at positions 507 to 807 of the family's 1533-position model. The record is from RNAcentral.
AGCAGUAGCCACGGUAAUACAGAGGGUGCGAGCGUUAAUCGGAUUUACUGGGCGUAAAGCGUGCGUAGGCGGCUUCUUAAGUCGGAUGUGAAAUCCCUGAGCUUAACUUAGGAAUUGCAUUCGAUACUGGGAAGCUAGAGUAUGGGAGAGGAUGGUAGAAUUCCAGGUGUAGCGGUGAAAUGCGUAGAGAUCUGGAGGAAUACCGAUGGCGAAGGCAGCCAUCUGGCCUAAUACUGACGCUGAGGUACGAAAGCAUGGGGAGCAAACAGGAUUAGAUACCCGCGUAGUCCCUGUCUCUUAUAC